This 90-nucleotide transfer RNA is filed under the name Patescibacteria group bacterium. Its description in RNAcentral is "tRNA-Ser". It matches the Rfam family "tRNA". From Rfam's summary of the family: Transfer RNA (tRNA) molecules are approximately 80 nucleotides in length. Their secondary structure includes four short double-helical elements and three loops (D, anti-codon, and T loops). The record is from RNAcentral.
GGAGGGGUGCCAGAGUGGUCGAAUGGGUCGGUCUCGAAAACCGAAGUACCUUUACGGGUACCGUGAGUUCGAAUCUCACCCCCUCCGCCA